GUGCCAGCCGCCGCGGUAAGACGUAGGGGGCCAGCGUUGCUCGGAAUUACUGGGCGUAAAGGGUUCGUAGGCGGUGCGGUAAGUCGAGAGUGAAAUCUCCAGGCUUAACUUGGAGGCGCCUCCCGAAACUGCCGUGCUCGAGUGCUGGAGAGGCGAGUGGAAUUGCAGGUGUAGCGGUGAAAUGCGUAGAUAUCUGCAGGAACACCAGUGGCGAAGGCGGCUCGCUGGACAGCAACUGACGCUGAGGAACGAAAGCUAGGGGAGCAAACAGGAUUAGAAACCCUCGUAGUCC
Molecule: ribosomal RNA, 292 nt
Filed under: uncultured bacterium
Lineage: Bacteria
Description: partial 16S ribosomal RNA
Rfam family: Bacterial small subunit ribosomal RNA
Source: RNAcentral